This 468-nucleotide ribosomal RNA is filed under the name uncultured bacterium. RNAcentral's name for it is "bacterial SSU rRNA". It matches the Rfam family "Bacterial small subunit ribosomal RNA", at positions 330 to 793 of the family's 1533-position model. The record is from RNAcentral.
UCCAGACUCCUACGGGAGGCAGCAGUGAGGAAUAUUGGUCAAUGGGCGGAAGCCUGAACCAGCCAAGUCGCGUGAGGGAAUAAGGCCCUACGGGUCGUAAACCUCUUUAGGCGGGGAGCAAUGCCGGGCACGUGUGCCCGGAGGGAGAGUACCCGCAGAAUAAGCAUCGGCUAACUCCGUGCCAGCAGCCGCGGUAAUACGGAGGAUGCGAGCGUUAUCCGGAUUUAUUGGGUUUAAAGGGUGCGUAGGCGGAUUUUUAAGUCAGCGGUAAAAUGUCCGGGCUCAACCCGGGCCGGCCGUUGAAACUGGGGAUCUUGAGUGGGCGAGAAGUAUGCGGAAUGCGUGGUGUAGCGGUGAAAUGCAUAGAUAUCACGCAGAACUCCGAUUGCGAAGGCAGCAUACCGGCGCCCGACUGACGCUGAGGCACGAAAGCGUGGGUAUCUAACAGGAUUAGAUACCCCAGUAUAG